This 327-nucleotide long non-coding RNA is filed under the name Brassica rapa (field mustard). Its description in RNAcentral is "long non-coding RNA (BRAP_LNC005039)". Lineage: Eukaryota; Viridiplantae; Streptophyta; Magnoliopsida; Brassicales; Brassicaceae. The record is from RNAcentral.
CUCCGGGUGAAGGAUUGGACGGUGGUCCUGGGACUGAAGGUGGAGGGUUUCGAGUAGGAGUAACAGGUGCGGGAGGAGAUCCGGGCGUAGUUGGAGCGGGUGGAGACGGCUGAGGAAGAGGAGGUGAAGAUCCCGGCGUAGAUGGAGUUGGUGGAGAUGGAGAUGGAGGAGGAGCAGAAGGUGUAGAGGGAGAAGAAGGAGGAGGAGUGGAUGGCGGCGGAGGAGAAGAAGGUGUGGUGGGAGGAGGAGCGGAAGCUGGAGGAGGAGUGGUGAUUGUGGAGUUUGAUGGUGGAGAUGGAGGCGAACCAGUCCCCGGAGACGGCGCCG